GGUUAAGCGACUAAGCGUACACGGUGGAUGCCCUGGCAGUCAGAGGCGAUGAAGGACGUGCUAAUCUGCGAAAAGCGCCGGCGAGGUGAUAUGAACCCUUGACCCGGCGAUGUCCGAAUGGGGAAACCCAGUGCAAUCCGUUGCACUAUCGUUAACUGAAUACAUAGGUUAACGAGGCGAACCGGGGGAACUGAAACAUCUAAGUACCCCGAGGAAAAGAAAUCAACCGAGAUUCCCCCAGUAGCGGCGAGCGAACGGGGAGCAGCCCGGAGUCUGAAUCAGCUUGUGUGUUAGUGGAACGGUCUGGAAAGUCCGACGGUACAGGGUGAUAGUCCCGUACACGAAAGCACACAUGCUGUGAACUCGAAGAGUAGGGCGGGACACGUGGUAUCCUGUCUGAAUAUGGGGGGACCAUCCUCCAAGGCUAAAUACUCCUGACUGACCGAUAGUGAACCAGUACCGUGAGGGAAAGGCGAAAAGAACCCCGGCGAGGGGAGUGAAAAAGAACCUGAAACCGUGUACGUACAAGCAGUGGGAGCCUCUUUAUGGGGUGACUGCGUACCUUUUGUAUAAUGGGUCAGCGACUUAUAUUCUGUAGCAAGGUUAACCGUAUAGGGGAGCCGAAGGGAAACCGAGUCUUAACUGGGCGUUAAGUUGCAGGGUAUAGACCCGAAACCCGGUGAUCUAGCCAUGGGCAGGUUGAAGGUUGGGUAACACUAACUGGAGGACCGAACCGACUAAUGUUGAAAAAUUAGCGGAUGACCUGUGGCUGGGGGUGAAAGGCCAAUCAAACCGGGAGAUAGCUGGUUCUCCCCGAAAGCUAUUUAGGUAGCGCCUCGUGAACUCAUCUUCGGGGGUAGAGCACUGUUUCGGCUAGGGGGCCAUCCCGGCUUACCAACCCGAUGCAAACUACGAAUACCGAAGAAUGUUAUCACGGGAGACACACGGCGGGUGCUAACGUCCGUCGUGAAGAGGGAAACAACCCAGACCGCCAGCUAAGGUCCCAAAGUCAUGGUUAAGUGGGAAACGAUGUGGGAAGGCACAGACAGCCAGGAUGUUGGCUUAGAAGCAGCCAUCAUUUAAAGAAAGCGUAAUAGCUCACUGGUCGAGUCGGCCUGCGCGGAAGAUGUAACGGGGCUAAACCAUGCACCGAAGCUGCGGCAGCGACACUUAUGUGUUGUUGGGUAGGGGAGCGUUCUGUAAGCCGUUGAAGGUGUGCUGUGAGGCAUGCUGGAGGUAUCAGAAGUGCGAAUGCUGACAUAAGUAACGAUAAAGCGGGUGAAAAGCCCGCUCGCCGGAAGACCAAGGGUUCCUGUCCAACGUUAAUCGGGGCAGGGUGAGUCGACCCCUAAGGCGAGGCCGAAAGGCGUAGUCGAUGGGAAACAGGUUAAUAUUCCUGUACUUGGUGUUACUGCGAAGGGGGGACGGAGAAGGCUAUGUCAGCCGGGCGACGGUUGUCCCGGUUUAAGCAUGUAGGCGGAGGUUCCAGGUAAAUCCGGUACCUUAUUAACGCUGAGGUGUGAUGACGAGGCACUACGGUGCUGAAGUGAUAAAUGCCCUGCUUCCAGGAAAAGCCUCUAAGCAUCAGGUAACACGAAAUCGUACCCCAAACCGACACAGGUGGUCAGGUAGAGAAUACCAAGGCGCUUGAGAGAACUCGGGUGAAGGAACUAGGCAAAAUGGUGCCGUAACUUCGGGAGAAGGCACGCUGAUGUGUAGGUGAAGCCCCUGCGGGCGGAGCUGAAAUCAGUCGAAGAUACCAGCUGGCUGCAACUGUUUAUUAAAAACACAGCACUGUGCAAACACGAAAGUGGACGUAUACGGUGUGACGCCUGCCCGGUGCCGGAAGGUUAAUUGAUGGGGUUAGCGGCAACGCGAAGCUCUUGAUCGAAGCCCCGGUAAACGGCGGCCGUAACUAUAACGGUCCUAAGGUAGCGAAAUUCCUUGUCGGGUAAGUUCCGACCUGCACGAAUGGCGUAAUGAUGGCCAGGCUGUCUCCACCCGAGACUCAGUGAAAUUGAACUCGCUGUGAAGAUGCAGUGUACCCGCGGCAAGACGGAAAGACCCCGUGAACCUUUACUAUAGCUUGACACUGAACACUGGUCCUUGAUGUGUAGGAUAGGUGGGAGGCUUUGAAGCGUGGACGCCAGUCUGCGUGGAGCCAACCUUGAAAUACCACCCUUUAAUGGCUGGUGUUCUAACGUAGACCCGUAAUCCGGGUUGCGGACAGUGUCUGGUGGGUAGUUUGACUGGGGCGGUCUCCUCCCAAAGAGUAACGGAGGAGCACGAAGGUUGGCUAAUCCUGGUCGGACAUCAGGAGGUUAGUGCAAUGGCAUAAGCCAGCUUGACUGCGAGCGUGACGGCGCGAGCAGGUGCGAAAGCAGGUCAUAGUGAUCCGGUGGUUCUGAAUGGAAGGGCCAUCGCUCAACGGAUAAAAGGUACUCCGGGGAUAACAGGCUGAUACCGCCCAAGAGUUCAUAUCGACGGCGGUGUUUGGCACCUCGAUGUCGGCUCAUCACAUCCUGGGGCUGAAGUAGGUCCCAAGGGUAUGGCUGUUCGCCAUUUAAAGUGGUACGCGAGCUGGGUUUAGAACGUCGUGAGACAGUUCGGUCCCUAUCUGCCGUGGGCGCUGGAGAAUUGAGGGGGGCUGCUCCUAGUACGAGAGGACCGGAGUGGACGCAUCACUGGUGUUCGGGUUGUCAUGCCAAUGGCACUGCCCGGUAGCUAAAUGCGGAAGAGAUAAGUGCUGAAAGCAUCUAAGCACGAAACUUGCCCCGAGAUGAGUUCUCCCUGAGACUUUAAGUCUCCUGAAGGAACGUUGAAGACGACGACGUUGAUAGGUCGGGUGUGUAAGCGCAGCGAUGCGUUGAGCUAACCGAUACUAAUGAACCGUGAGGCUUAACCUU
RNAcentral lists this ribosomal RNA (2906 nucleotides) under Enterobacter hormaechei subsp. steigerwaltii. RNAcentral describes it as "23S ribosomal RNA". It matches the Rfam family "Bacterial large subunit ribosomal RNA". Lineage: Bacteria; Pseudomonadati; Pseudomonadota; Gammaproteobacteria; Enterobacterales; Enterobacteriaceae. The record is from RNAcentral. RNAcentral also lists the same sequence under 1 other name.